This is a long non-coding RNA of Episyrphus balteatus (marmalade hoverfly), 438 nucleotides long. RefSeq lists it as uncharacterized. Lineage: Eukaryota; Metazoa; Arthropoda; Insecta; Diptera; Syrphidae. The transcript has 3 exons. The record is from RefSeq and is a predicted model, not a curated record.
AUCCAAUAAGAAGGACAAAACUGAUUGGACUACCUAUAUUCUCAUUUAAAUGGAACUAAAAAAUGUUGUUUUAAAAUAUUUGUGAAAUCAAGAAAAAAAAGUGAUAUACGACAUCUUACGGUUAAUAGAGUUCAAUAUCUAGUUUUUAUGAACCUUUACGUGCGUGUCGAGGGGUUGAAAAUUUUCAUUUCCCAAUGGAAUUGAAACAAAAUUAGAAGUAUGUGCCUAAGUGCAAGAAAGGAUAAUGAGAAGCAGGAAGGAUUGAAAACUCUUUUUGAUAUGGACCAGGACCAUUCGCCUAUGGACAUCAUCAUCACCUUAACAGUAUAAAGGUAAAGGACAUGUUAAUUUUGGUGGGAAUCUUCAAUCUACAUUUAGUUAAGGUGCCAUCAGUUUCCUGUUUUACAUCUCUGUGCAUAUAAUUAAGCAAUGUUGCAG